This 431-nucleotide ribosomal RNA is filed under the name uncultured bacterium. Its description in RNAcentral is "bacterial SSU rRNA". It matches the Rfam family "Bacterial small subunit ribosomal RNA", at positions 30 to 466 of the family's 1533-position model. The record is from RNAcentral.
AUUGAACGCUGGCGGCAUGCCUUACACAUGCAAGUCGAACGGCAGCACGGGAGCAAUCCUGGUGGCGAGUGGCGAACGGGUGAGUAAUAUAUCGGAACGUGCCCAGUCGUGGGGGAUAACGUAGCGAAAGCUACGCUAAUACCGCAUACUAUCUAUGGAUGAAAGCGGGGGAUCGCAAGACCUCGCGCGAUUGGAGCGGCCGAUAUCAGAUUAGGUAGUUGGUGAGGUAAAGGCUCACCAAGCCGACGAUCUGUAGCUGGUCUGAGAGGACGACCAGCCACACUGGGACUGAGACACGGCCCAGACUCCUACGGAGGCAGCAGUGGGGAAUUUUGGACAAUGGGCGCAAGCCUGAUCCAGCAAUGCCGCGUGCAGGAUGAAGGCCUCGGUGUAACGUGACUUUGUUACGGUAACGAAACCGGUAGGUAAGG